GUUGCCUCACAAUCCAUUUCAAGUCCCCAGCUCCAUAGACACACACCGCCCGUCUGUGCAUCCCAGUGCAUGGUGGAUAGGGAGCCCCUCUCUUUAAAUCCCCUUCAUGGUAGCUCCAUUUCACUAGACGAGCAAUUGCGUUCAUGUCCGAUUGCUCAUACUUUCUGUUUGGAGGGUUGGAUCCUGGCACUGAAGGCAUCCGCUGUAACGUAGCCCACAUGUGCUCAUCUGGACUGUAUGUGUCUUUCUCCCAUUCCAUGAAUUCUUGAACCUCUUUGCUUUUGAAGAUGUGAUCCACAAACUCUCUUGAAAACACAAAUCUGGUCAGCACUACAGAGCACUGAACACCGAAACAGCCAGUUUCUUCCAUCAGAACACCAGACUAAGGACUAUGAGCUGGGAAUUCGCUGGACAGAUCACGGCGGUGGCGCAAUCCAGCCGCGAUCUGUUUACCUUCACUGAGAGAUUCUGUUGUCUUGUCCACACCAGCCACUUGGAUGACGAGACUAUUAAGGCUCUGUACUGGACCGGGGCGAACUUCGUAGAUCCCAGAGAACUUCCUGAUCUUGUCGGAUUGGACUUAAGAGAGAGAGUCUACCGAUGUCUGGAAAGUUUCAUUCCCCCGUAUGUAUCACAGCCAGCCCCAGAAUCUCACCCUAAGAUGGCCACCGGUCCACAAUCCCAUCCUGUCAUGGCCGCUUUCCCAGUAUCACAUCCUAAGAUGGCCGCUGGUCCAGAAUUCCAACCUAAGAUGGCCGCCAGUCAGAACUCCCAUCCUAAGUGUCUCGUCCCAUCAUGGCUGCCAUUCCAGAGUCUUGUUCCGUCAUGGCUGCCAUUCCAGAGUCUCGUCCCGUCAUGGCCACCAUUCCAGAGUCUCGUCCCGUCAAAUUAAUACAUUUGUUAAAAAUACUGUUAAAAUGAUGUACUGUGUUUUUAUUAAGUCUGGGAAUUGUAAUAACUUUUUAAUAAGAGAAAAAAAAUAUGAAUAUGUAAUAUUGUGCAAACAUUUCUGAAAAAUGCUCCUCUCUAGAUUUCUUCUUUUUUUUUUUUUUUUUUUUUUUACUAACUAUCGAGUUUGCACUAUGCAUUCUGAAGCACCGUGUCUUCUUCUAUUGGAUUCGGGGAGGGCUGCAUUACAGUAUUACGGUUUGACCAGCCCCACUGGUCAAACCGCGUUAUUGCAGGCCCUUCAAAUAGAUCAUAUGAGAUCAAAAGACUAUUCAACAACAAAAAUAUUUGUCGACAAUUUUUUAUUGUCGACGUUGUCGAUAAUGUUGACUAAUCAUUUCAGCCCUAUUACGUUUUCAUACACACAAAAUACAUAUACAUAUAUCUUUGACAUAAAAGAUUUGUAAAUAUUUUGUUGUAUUUUUACAUUUUAGUGCUAUAAAUACAUCAAUAUUAUACAUUUCAGCACCUUUCUAAACAUACAAAAAUGUACAAUUUGUGUCUUUGAAAGUUACGUAAUAAUACCUACGUAUUAACAACGAGACCAGGCUGGAUUGUCAAUGUGAUUGUAAAACAUUAAAAUUUUGCACUACCAAGUGAUAAAGGAUGAGAUCAAAGGUAACCAGAUAUUCUGAAGAAUGUUGAAAACACGUUGCUGUUAGGCCCCAUUUACACUGCAUGGUUCAAGUGACCCAAUUCCGAUUUUUUUCUCCCAUGUGGCACAGAUCAGAUAUGAGCUACGACCGUGUAAGCAGGAAAAAAGCGCAUGGAUUCAGAUUUUCACAGAUCGGUUUCAGGCCUCAUUCAUAUGUGGAAAUAAAUCAGAUAUGAAUCGGAUACGUGCGUUUGCGCCUGCAGUGUAAGCGGACAGAUCAGAUAUUCCCCUGUAAAUGUGACUCCUGCAUCAUUGAAAAGUGAGGUUUUUUAACAUUUCACGGUACAGACAUACCUAUAACAAACGGAACAUCUCUAGUUGACUGGCAGAGUAUUCAUUUCAUUUGUUUGUGUUAAAUAAAAGGCGAUCUGACGUUGAAAUGUGUGGCUCUUGAAAUCACACUGAGUGUUCGUUGCCACUGUUGUCAGUGACGACGGCUCGUGCACAGACGCGCACUUCAGUCCCGUUGUGGAGACUCUACCCAUUCAUUCCAUUGAAACCACAAAAUAAAAAGCACACAAGCUUGUACCUGCCCUUGAUAUACAAUCACUGAUGAAUGCAUAUUCACUUACUAUGAGAAGCCUUAUACUAAACCACGCCUCUACUUUGAUCAUAGUCACUUACUGGAAAACUCACCUGUAAAAACUAGAUCAGCCUCAUCUGCAUCUGCAAUUACAGCCUCUUCAGUUCAGGAAGUCAACAUUACUGUAGACUUUUGCCAGUUGAUGGAUUUUUCUUAUCCAGAAAAAUGAGGCGAGCUGACUGACAAGACGACGGUGAAAGAUUUGGUUUCUAAGCGAAAUGUAAAAGGGCCUAUUUGGCAAUAUUUUGGAUUUAAACCCAGUGCUAAUAGGGAACCUGGAAAAAAUUAAUGAGGUAAUCUGUAAACUUUGCCUGAUGAAGGUGGCAGCAUCCGGAGUAACACCUCUAAUUUACACACACACCUUUUUUUUUAUUUUUUUUAUUUUUAUUAUGCAAACAGACAAUUACAAUAUUUACAGAAGAGAAAUUAAAUGCAAAAUACAAAUACAAAGACCAACAAAACAUACAUAACAGCCAGUAUGAUUUGGGUGUGUGUGUGUGUGUGUGUAUAAGUGUAACUGGGUGUGGGAGUGGAAAUAUAUGAAUAAAGGAGCAUGUAGGAAAGUACAACAGACAUAACCAGAGUCAAGAAAAAAAUAUAUCAAAGAGGAAAAAAAUAAGUAAAUAAAAAAAAAAUUAAUGACAAUAAUAAUGAUGAAGAUAAUAAUAGUAUCACACGCAAACAAUGAGGAAGGUGACAAUAGCAACAGUAAUAACAGUAUUAAUAAUAAUAAUAAUAAUAACAACAAUAAUAAUAAUAAUGAUAAAUCCAAUUAAUAAGAAAUGACAAAUAGUAAUAAUAGUAUUAGCAGUAGUAGUAAUGAUAAAACAUAUUAACAAAUAUACUCAUUUCAUCCGGAAUGAGGGGGAGGUUAAAGGAUCAGGAAGAGGAAAAAUAAAGAUAAAGUGAUAGUAAUAGCAAUAAUAAUAAUAUUAAUAAUGGUAAUAUUGAUACAGCCAUUAAUAGUAAUGAUAAUAGUAGUAGUUGUAAUGGCAGUGAUAAUAAUAAUAAUAAUAACAAUAGUAUUAAUAAUGGUAAAAUUGAUACAGCUAUUAAUAAUAAGAUAUUAUAAAGCUGCCUCUAUUCCCCUCAUGGCCAUGGCAUAAGAUAGACCCCCGUCAGCGUCAUGUUGCAACGGGCUAUCAAGGUGUGGCGCUGCGGGGCCGAGGGUCCCAAAAUCCAUCCCCAUCCCCAGCCGUCCCACACAUGCCACGCUUACCCUGUCUGUGUUUUUUUUUUUUUUUUUUUUUUUUUUUUUUUUUUUUAUAAAUAUGGCUGCUUUCAUUGUUAUACUCAUGAUAUGUUUAUGUCAACUAGUGUAUAAUGCAUUAAAAAAGCAUGGCGUGUAGCAUGGAACCAGCCCAGUGCAAAGCCCAGGCCGCUACGCCCACGCCACACUUACCCUAUGUGUGUGCUUUUUUUUUUUUUUUUUUUUUUGCUUUAAACUUGUUUUAUGCUCCAAAUGAAUGUGUGUGUGCACCUCAUCUAAUAUGUGAAGCAUUAAAACAGCGAGAAAAAUGCUGAGCCAGCCAGAGACAAGAAAUCCCAGGUGAAAGUACAAGCUGGAGGGUGAAAGCCCAAGGCCCCGGCCCCACAUCACACCCACCCACAACUAAUCAAAACUGCACAUGGCAGGGACUAGUAUGCCACAGCCAACCAGGGUCUAGAAGUAGCAAAAAAAAAAAAAAAGAGAGAGAGAGAGAGAGAUUUAAAUAUAAUCUUAUAAGUAUUUUAUUUAUAUUUGAUAUUAGUCAGUGUUGCUACCUCUUCCUGAUCUCUACCUCUACCUUCCUGUACCAUUGAGGAUGGCUUCAGACAAAGAAGCCCUGGUGCCUUUGAGGCUUGUAGAAGACCACAACUGAAAGAGCUUACAGUUGCCGAUGGAUAUAAGUGUAUGCUUUAACCAAAUGCCACGCCUGUCGUGGAGACUGACGAAGCACAAACUCGCUAAGGCAUAGACGCUACAAGACCCCUGAAGUUGUCCAGUGGCACCUACAGUCUAGCAGCAGAUCCUUCAAGUCCUGUAGGUUGCGAGGUGGAGCAACUGUGGAUCGGAAUUGUUGGUCCAGCACAUCCCACAGAUGCUCAGUUGGAUUGAGAUGUGGUGAAAUUGGAGGCCAGGGCAACACCUUGAACUCUUCAUCAUGUUCCUCAAACCAUUCCUGAACAAUGUGUGCAAUGUAGCAGGGUGCAUUAUAUCCUGCUGAAAGAGACCAAUUCCACCAGAGAACACCAUUGUCAUGAAGGAGUUUACCUGGUCUGCAACAAUGCUUAGUAGGUUGGCCAGAUGUUAGUAAAUGGCCAGAGCCAAAGAUUCCCAGCAGAAUAUUGCUUAGAGCUUCACAGUCCCUCCACCUGCAGUCAUCUUCCCAUAGUGAAUCCUGCUACAUCCUUGCAGCUCUCAUUCCUAGCAGACUCAUUCCUCCUAAAACCAUCAUUACAUUCUUCUGUGACUUGCGCCACAAUAAACCAUCUGUCCGUUUGGACCAGAUGGGAUAGCCUUCGUUGCCCUCACGCAUUGAUGAGCUUUUGCCACACAACACCCCCGUUUGUGGUUCAUCAGGCCACUGUUUGUAGGCUCUUACCACAAAAGUUUAAGGGGCAAUCAGUUUAAACAAACUCUGGAACUCAUACUAGUUGCUAACCUAUUUAAUUACCAGUGGAUGGAUGAAAUUUUGUUGUGUGUGUGUAAGAUGA
Molecule: long non-coding RNA, 4883 nt
Organism: Ctenopharyngodon idella (grass carp)
Lineage: Eukaryota; Metazoa; Chordata; Actinopteri; Cypriniformes; Xenocyprididae
Exons: 6
Source: RefSeq, a predicted model, not a curated record